AGAGCUACCCCAAACACACCUGAUCUGGUUUUGGAAGUGAAACAGGGUCAAGCCUGGUUAGUUCUUGGAUGGGAGACCACCAGGGACUAGUAGGAACCUCUC
Molecule: ribosomal RNA, 102 nt
Filed under: Pogona vitticeps (central bearded dragon)
Lineage: Eukaryota; Metazoa; Chordata; Lepidosauria; Squamata; Agamidae
Source: RNAcentral